GCUGCAUUAUUGUUGAUGACAUUCGUCCAAAGGUGAUGUGGUGUCAUGUCGCUUGUGUAUCCUAGUUUUUAGCUUUUUGAGCUUAAAACAUGUGGAUAAUCGGUUGGUGAUAGACAUCACUCCCUUGGUUGAUGAAAGUCGUCCAAUGAUGUGGUGGUUGGUUUAUUUUGUUCUCGCAUCGUUCGGUGCAUUCUGUGGUCAUUUUGGCUGUUAGUGGCUUGCUUGGCAUUCGUGCUUGGUGUGUUGCUACUAGUUUGGGUGUCUUCGGGGAUGUCAACCGUAAAGGUGCAUGAGUGGUGUUUGGUUUGUUACGGGUGGUUGGCUCUUUGCUUGCGCAACAACUUCCACCUGGCAUACCUCUUCAGUCUUGUGUCAAUGCUUGUAUUGCAUUGAAUGCACGACGGGUUUCUUGUGUUGCAUGCCUAAUUAAUGGUAUUGUUUGAUGAUUUGGUUUCGUUUUUCGUCUUGCCUCGCCUUUGCGAUGUGAGAUGAACCYUGAAGCAGCCUUUGUGAUCCACACUUUUGAUGCAUACGCAUUGAUUUUGUGGCCCAUUAAGUGUUGCUCGGUCUCAUGGAUAUGGAACCUGGUGUGGGCAUGGAAUCUUAAUGGUUCCUUGUUUGCCCAAGUUUAGCUUUUCUAAAACGAUUGUCUAUCA
This 656-nucleotide unclassified non-coding RNA is filed under the name Helichrysum cf. jubilatum Andres-Sanchez et al. SA740. Its description in RNAcentral is "partial external transcribed spacer". Lineage: Eukaryota; Viridiplantae; Streptophyta; Magnoliopsida; Asterales; Asteraceae. The record is from RNAcentral.